This 353-nucleotide ribosomal RNA is filed under the name Eukaryota sp. Its description in RNAcentral is "SSU rRNA". It matches the Rfam family "Eukaryotic small subunit ribosomal RNA", at positions 1324 to 1700 of the family's 1831-position model. The record is from RNAcentral.
UUCGAUAACGAACGAGACCUUGACCACUAAAUAGCCCGUACUGCCUCGGCAGUUCGCUGGCUUCUUAGUGGGACUAUCGGCUCAAGCCGAUGGAAGUUCGAGGCAAUAACAGGUCUGUGAUGCCCUUAGAUGUUCUGGGCCGCACGCGCGCUACACUGAUCAAGUCAACGAGUUUACAACCUUGGCCGGAAGGUCUGGGUAAUCUUUUGAAACUUGAUCGUGCUGGGGAUAGUCCAUUGCAAUUAUUGGACUUCAACGAGGAAUUCCUAGUAAGCGUGAGUCAUCAGCUCGCGUUGAUUACGUCCCUGCCCUUUGUACACACCGCCCGUCGCUAAUACCGAUUGAAUGGAUAA